Transfer RNA from Amazona aestiva (blue-fronted amazon), 69 nucleotides. It matches the Rfam family "tRNA". From Rfam's summary of the family: Transfer RNA (tRNA) molecules are approximately 80 nucleotides in length. Their secondary structure includes four short double-helical elements and three loops (D, anti-codon, and T loops). Lineage: Eukaryota; Metazoa; Chordata; Aves; Psittaciformes; Psittacidae. The record is from Rfam.
AAGGUCCUAGCUUAAUGAAAGUGUCUGGGUUGCAUUCAGGAGAUGUAGGUUAGCGUCCUACGGAUCUUA